This 4684-nucleotide long non-coding RNA is filed under the name Daucus carota (carrot). Its description in RNAcentral is "long non-coding RNA (DCAR_LNC000072)". Lineage: Eukaryota; Viridiplantae; Streptophyta; Magnoliopsida; Apiales; Apiaceae. The record is from RNAcentral.
UAUAAAGCUAUUAAACAGUGUAUUUUCAUGCCAUAUAUGAUCCAAAGGGGUAUUAAUUAUUCUUAAGUAUAAAUAUACUUAACUGUACUUUAUUUUAUUACGAAAAUCAUAAAACCAGUUAAAACCGAGAAAUUCCCGAGAGAGUUCUUCGUGUUCUUGAGAUUCAAACGAGGAUUUGGACGCGUUAUCGGACUCGGAUUUUGGUGUUCAAGGGCUCAAAUUGAAGGUUUUAACAAGUAGAAUCAUAAUCUAGCAUCAAAAUCAGUGCAGCAACAUCAGGUGGGUUUGGAUUUUGAGUUUUAAAUUCAAAUUAAAUAAGCUUAAAUUAGGGCUUUUUGAUUUUGAAGUUGUUUAUGUGUUUUGAUGAUUGUAUGUUGUAGAUAAUGUUCUCCUGAUCAUUUUGGUAUAUCAUAUGCAUGAUUUGGAGUUCAAUAACAUGUUCAAAAUUGGGUUUAAUUGUUCGAAUUAGAAACUAGGGUUUAUAGCCGUUUGAAUGUUUUCAAUUGGAAAUUGGGGGUUUGUUAUUCUGGAGUUACACGUGUAAAUAGAAGUGUGGAAUGGAUUGGGGAGGUUUAGAGGAGUCGAAUGGUGGUAUCAAAAGUAGGGUGAGGUUCAGGAAUGGCCAGAAUCGGAGUAAAGAAGACUCGCCGGCGACGGCGAGUUUCUUCGUCGAUUUCCGGCCAAACCACUGCGUUGAUGAUCGAAUUGAGUGGAUAAGUAGGUUCCUGGUGGUUUCUUUGUUGUAUCUGCACACUUUGGGAGUGUUCUGGGCGCCGUAGUGAAGUUCCGGCGAAACUCCGGUGAGUUUCUGCCGGGGAAGGUGACCGGAGGGUCAAACUACGGUUUGACCCCCCAAAUUUCAAUAACGAUGCAAUUGUCCCCCAAACUUUCUGUUUUUACAGUUAAGCCACCCUGAAAGUUUCCAAAAGUUGCAAUUCAAACCCUGGGCUUUUAAAAAGUUUUAAAAAUGAUUUCUGAUUUAAAUUUAAUUUCGAAAAUCAUUUAUUUUAAUUUCAAAAAUUGUUUUUAAUUAUUUAUUAAUUCAAAAAUAAAUCUGAUUUAAUUUAUUAAUUAAUUUUAAUUAGUAAUUAAUUAUAAUAAUUAGUCAAUUAAUUUAAUUAUUAAUUGAUUAAUUGUUUUAAUUAAUUAUUAAUUGAUUUUAAUUGAUUUAUUAAUUAGAUUUAAUUAUUUUAAAUAAUUUUAAAUGAUUUUAAAAUUCCGAAAAAUAGUUUCGAGCUUUAAAAUAUUAUUCUAAAAUAUGAUUGAAGCUCGUUAAUUGAUUUCAAAUGAUUUCGGACUUGAUUUCGAGUAUCCAAAAUUGAUUAUUUAUUUAUAAAAUGAUUCUUUGGUCCGUUUUAAUCCCGAAAAAUGUUUUAAAAUCCAUAUCAAAUGCCAGAAAAAAAUCCUUUUGACUUCAAACCUUCUUUGAUAAAUAAAUUUCAUUGAAUAUCUUAUGUGAUACGUGUUGUGGCAUAUCUGAUUGAUGUGUUACGUGUCUACAUGAGCAUUACAGAAUGGUUUUUACAUAUCUUUUGAUCUGUAAGUCGGAUUUAAAUGAAACGAAGGGUAGUUAGAAACUCGUUACGAAGGUGUGAUGAUAAGAAUAGUAUGAGAUCAUAUAUUGAUAGAUGAUUGUUGUGAUUAGCAGAAGAAACAAGGCGUAGAAAGGAAAAGCAAGUGGCGAUAGAGUAGUAUAGCGAGCAAGUGUAAUUGAAACUUGAGAUCAGCUAUAUAAGGCAAGUUCCCUGAGACUUUCCUACAAUUAUAUACUGUAUCUGUGGUGAUUAUUUAACGAGCUUUCUGAUUAAGCCCUGUGAUCUAUUGAAUUAUAGCAUGGAUUAUUUAUCCUAUUGAUUUUUGAACCUUCAACCAGAUUCCUUGAAUUAUAAUAUGGAUUCUUUACUUUAUUGAUUCUUGAACCUUUGACCCGAUUCUUUGAUAUCUGCCACGAACCCUAUUUCAAUUGUAAACCUUCAAUUUUUAAAACUUCUAAAUGAUUACCCUAAAAACCUAAUUUCAUUUCAAGAACAUGCCCUCGAAACCUCAACCAGUUAUCAAUCACACAUCUUUCAGACCUUAAUCAGUUGAUCAGCCCCAAAUAACAUCUGUUAAGACAUAUACUUUACAGUUGAUUGAUUUUUUUCUAUGAACUCUAGUUUCUUGAUCUUAAAAGCAUUCAUUUAUACUUGGAUUCUUUUUGUGAACCUAGAACCUUCUUCAUAAAAACACUAAACUUUGAUAUGCCUUGCCAUCCUAUAAGGCAAUGUCUGAUUCUUUGCUAAACCAUGAAGAUAUUUCUCAUUCCUCCUUUGAGAUCCAUCUGAGACACUUUGAAUAGUAGUCUGCUUCUGCUUCAAAAUUUAUUUAUGAUGUUGAUGUUUCUAUUUUAUUGAAUAAUAUUGUUGAUCAUCUUGAUUGUGAUAGAAUUGGAUAGUUUUCUAAACUUGGACCAAAUGAAUGGUCAGACCAGAUGAGUGGUCGCUUUAGGCCAAUGUGUGCCUUGGAUCCAGUAAACGAGCAUGGUGGGACCUGCUCGGGGUUAGUGUCUGACUGAUCAGCAGCCUAACCUUUGAUUUUUAAAAAUAAAUUUAAUAUCCAAUUCUAAUCAAUGUUCUAAAAACAAAUCUUGGUAUUGAGAUUGAUUCCUUGAGACACUGGUUUCCUUCAGCUUAUGAUUAAUAUUUUAAAUUGAUAUUGUUAUACUUGCUGAGCUGGUUAGCUCACUCUUGCGGUAUUUUAUGUUCUUUCCAGUGAAGGCAGAGAAAGUUGGUAACGAUGACCCUCAGGCUAGUGGUAAGGCCAGGAUUCCAGGCUAGGAGAUGAAGAGAGCUAUCAGCAGCGCCUGGCUUUUUUUAUAUAUGUACUAGUUUGAAUAACGAGACACAAAUGAUGUGUAAGCUUGUAAGAAUUAAGUUUAUAUUUUGGGAUUUGGGUUUGUAAUAAUUAAAGUUGUGUUGUGGCUUGUUUUAUACUUUAACCUGUUGCGAUCCAUGGACAGUUAAGGGUCACUGUAUAUAUUAUAUUAUUAAUUACAGGUUUAUGUUAAGGUGUGGACCCCAAACUUCUGACCCGGGUUUGGAGGGCGCCACAGGUUGGUAUCAGAGCGACGGGUUUAAGUCAAUGAAACAAGCCUAGAUUGUUAGGUUGGGUAGAAGUUUAGGAUUAGAAAUGAGUGAUAGGUAGAUAGAACGUUGAGAGGUUGAGGAUUAUUCGUAAUAGAUUUAGGAUUGAUGUUGGUAGUGGAUGCAGAUUUUCAUACGUGUUUGUUCAUGUUGAUUCUCAGACUAUCAGGCAUGUCAGGCCCCAGUACCCCGGUUCAUUCUGAUCAUUCAGAGUCGACAGUUGAGGGACUUCCACCUCGUCCAGGAGUUGUACCUAUAUCUCCACCCAGGGCACUUACACCCCCACCUGUAGCAGGACCUUCACGUCCACCUGGAUACCCUCGUAGUGGACAGACCCCUAUUGCAGCUGUACCGCUCAGGGAUAUACCCCCACUUGCACCUGAGAUGCCCCCACCUGCUCCUAUUAUGCGACCUCCUAUCCGUGGACCUCCACCAGAGCAUGAGUCUUCAGGAUUUUCGGGUGUCGGACCCUCUUAUCCGUGUUCCCCUCUUUCAGUACCCUAUCACUACUAUCAGGCACUUUUGAUGGAGAGAGAUGAGUUGUUGGGCCAGAUUGGGGAGCUGACACAGGCGAUGAGGGAUUUAGAUCCUAAUAGGGCAGAGCGACAGUUGAGAGAGGAGAUACGUGCUUUUUGGAUAGAGGCAGUAGAGAGGUUAUGUGGGAUUACCGCACCACUUGGUACCCCUGGAGAUAUUAUAGAUUGGGCUCGUUGGGUCUUGGAGCGGCUGGAUGUUAUCGGAGGACCAGACUUUCCCUAGGUCUGGAGUAUAUCAUGUGUUGGAGAUGGUUAGUACUAUAGUGAGUAGUGUGUAUGAUGCAGCAUAGUGAGUAGUUGUAUCAGGUCAGCCGAUUUUGACAUGUACAUAUAGACUAGCGGAGCUGGCCAGAUGAUGUGUAUGUUGUUAUGAUCAUCAGCAGAUUUUGACAUGUAUAUAUAGACUAGCUGAGUUGACUGGAUAGCCUUGUUGUUGCUGUUGUUGUACCUUACUUUUGAUGAAGCGCUUGACGCUUGUAUCCUUAGCACUGACUUAUAUAUAUCAGCAUCUUUUACUUUACAGUCUUGUCAUUUACUUUAUCGCACUUGCUUUACUUUAUUUUACUUUCAGUACCGAUCAUAAACUCUUGUGAUAAUAUUGCCACCUUUCUUUUAAUGUUUUACAUUCUGUAAAGAAGCAUGCAAUUUAUUUAGUUAAACAAUCUCAAAAAUGUUUUCAAAAAUGUAUAAAUCUGUUUCUUAAAAACCUUUUAUAAAAAGAGAAUUUGAUUUAAAAUGACUAAGUAAAUUGUUUCUUCUUUACAGAAUGCCUCCAACAAGACAUACUCGUGCCAACAGUGAUCCUGAAGGCACCAACAGCAUCAAUGAUAACAAUGAUAACCAGAAUGUCAAUAUAGGCCCAGUAGAUCCUGCUGUGGCCCAACUCAUUCAAAUUUUGGCUCAACAAACUGCUCAUCUUACCCGACAACAGCAACAUCAAGAGAAUCCUAGGGUAACUUUUAAAACUUUUCAGGCAGUUAAUCCUCCAGAGUUUAAGGGCUCAGCAGAUCCUGUUGCAGCCCAAAC